UGUGGAAUAUUGCACAAUGGGCGCAAGCCUGAUGCAGCCAUGCCGCGUGUAUGAAGAAGGCCUUCGGGUUGUAAAGUACUUUCAGUCGGGAGGAAGGUGGUAAGGUUAAUAACCUUAUCAAUUGACGUUACCGACAGAAGAAGCACCGGCUAACUCCGUGCCAGCAGCCGCGGUAAUACGGAGGGUGCAAGCGUUAAUCGGAAUUACUGGGCGUAAAGCGCACGCAGGCGGUUGAUUGAGUCAGAUGUGAAAUCCCCGGGCUUAACCCGGGAAUUGCAUCUGAUACUGGUCAGCUAGAGUCUUGUAGAGGGGGGUAGAAUUCCAUGUGUAGCGGUGAAAUGCGUAGAGAUGUGGAGGAAUACCGGUGGCGAAGGCGGCCCCCUGGACGAAGACUGACGCUCAGGUGCGAAAGCGUGGGGAGCAAACAGG
Molecule: ribosomal RNA, 429 nt
Filed under: Chloroflexota bacterium
Lineage: Bacteria; Bacillati; Chloroflexota
Description: Chloroflexi bacterium partial 16S ribosomal RNA
Rfam family: Bacterial small subunit ribosomal RNA
Source: RNAcentral